RNAcentral lists this long non-coding RNA (397 nucleotides) under Rattus norvegicus (Norway rat). RNAcentral describes it as "long non-coding RNA NONRATT028837". Lineage: Eukaryota; Metazoa; Chordata; Mammalia; Rodentia; Muridae. The record is from RNAcentral.
AGAUCGCUCAGCAGUUCUCUGAAGCAGUGCAGAUGGGCCUAUCCUCGCCAGGUCUCAAUCUCCGAUAUCGCUUUAAAUAGAAAUGAAAUUCUGUUUGUCACACAGGAUGGGGAAGGAUUUAAAGGGAAAUGGUUUGAAGACAAAAGAAAGAAUUCUGAAAAGAAAGUGUGUAUGAAAGAAUUCGACUUGAGAAACUUCCUUUUGCCCAUAGAGCUGUUAGUGUCAGCACAGAUCCAAGUGGGUGCAACUUUGCAAUCCUACAGUCAGACCCUAAAACAAGCCUUUAUGAAAUUCCAGUUGUGUCUUCAUCCUCCUUUUUUGAAGAAUUUGGCAAGCUCCUGAGGGAGACAGAUGAAAUGGACAGCUUCCAUGACGUGACCUUUCAAGUUGGCAAUAG